AGAAUCAACGCUGGCGGCGUGCCUAACACAUGCAAGUCGAACGAGAAAGUGGAGCAAUCCAUGAGUAAAGUGGCGACCGGGUGAGUAACACGUGACUAACCUACCCUCGAGUGGGGAAUAACAUCGGGAAACCGAUGCUAAUACCGCAUAACAUCGCAAGAUCAAAGCCGAAAGGCGCUUGAGGAGGGGGUCGCGGCUGAUUAGCUAGUUGGUAGGGUAAUGGCCUACCAAGGCUUAGAUCGGUAGCCGGCCUGAGAGGGCGCACGGCCACACUGGAACUGAAACACGGUCCAGACUCCUACGGGAGGCAGCAGUGGGGAAUUUUGCGCAAUGGGGGAAACCCUGACGCAGCAACGCUGCGUGGAGGAUGAAGUCCCUUGGGACGUAAACUCCUUUCGACCGGGACGAUACUGACGGUACCGGAUGAAGAAGCACCGGCUAACUCUGCGCCAGCAGCCGC
RNAcentral lists this ribosomal RNA (460 nucleotides) under uncultured bacterium. RNAcentral's name for it is "SSU rRNA". It matches the Rfam family "Bacterial small subunit ribosomal RNA", at positions 26 to 518 of the family's 1533-position model. The record is from RNAcentral.